GCCUCACACAUGCUAGGGAAGCACUCUACCACUGAGCUAUAGCCCCAACCCUUCAGGAACCCUUUCUAAUUCUACCUUUUACCUUUGUAAUAAAAAAAAAAAAAGUAAACUGUUGUUUUCUUUGUCCUCUUCAUAUCUUGCAACAGGUCUUCAUCAGAAGAGCUUCCGAUUAGAUGGUGAGCCUGGCGUUCAUACCACAAAAGGGCCAUCGUACAUGUGAGAAAUAUGGCUACUUUUAAGGCUAAGCGUAUUUUUGCAUCCUUAGGUGAUGGAUUUCCUGUGAUAUUCUGAAGUGGAAAACUCCAGUUACUGUUCUGAAGUGUUUGUGAGUCUCUUCCUCUGUCCCAACAGUAUCUCUGUAAGAAUUUUGAAGGCAUUUUCUUUCACUGGCAUUUAAUGAACACUGAUUUUAAAAGGGAUCUGGUUUCCUUUUUUCUUGUCUUCUUAUUUUUUCCCCCUGGUUUUAGUCUUUUCUGUUGCUUUUAUUAAGCUAUCGUUGAGUUCAGAAGGCUAAGAGAAUUUUUCUUUUAAAAAGGAAAGCUUGCCUACCAGCCAGUUUUAUAUUUUUCCCCAAGCACUCAACAGUCUAAUCUUUUUCCCAUUUAAAAUGAGAAUGAGUUUAGCAAGAAAUUGACUUGAUGUUAGGACAGGAGCUUCGGGAAGCUCUAAUCUCAGUGACAGCCUUAACAAACCAAUCCUGCUCCCUGGCCUUCUACAUAUGGAACAGGACCCGUUCUUUCAGACCCUCCAGGUAGGAAACUGAGCCUCUAAAGCGUGAUUGUGACGCUCUCUAUUCACCCUGUCUUUGGGUUGCUCUUUUGUACGUGGCUCUUUGCAAUACAUUCCCCACCCUGUUAGAAGCAGAAGAAUUUGGAAAGAAAACUGGAUGUUGGUUGUCUUUGAAAUGUUUGCUUUAGUUUUACUAGGAGUGUAGCUCCCAAAUUGGUGACACUUAGAAGUUCCCCGAAAUGUUGAAUCUUUAAAGGAGUACUCUGUUUUCUGUUUAUAUGGGAAGAAACCAAUGACAUAAAUUUUGUUGGCUAGGGAAGAUCUUGCCUUAGAGAAAGUAGUAUUAUAAUGCUCUGUAGCACUGUUUAUUGGUUAUCAAUACUUAUCCAUACCUACAGCUCUCGAACUUUUUACUAUAUCAUAAUCACCUGGAGAGUAUUUCAAAACACAGAUCAAUUGGACCCAUCCUCGUUUUCUACUCAAUAGGUGGCUGCAGAGAAUUUCCAUUUUUAAUAACCCCAUUGAAAAUGGUGGUGCUGGUCUGAGGACCCUACUGUUUUUACCAUUGCUAUCAUUACACAAUAGGGGGGAAAAAAAACCGCCGGCACAGUGGCGCUCAUCUGUAAUCCCAGUCAUUUGGAAUACUGAGGCAGGAAGAUAGAGAGUU
RNAcentral lists this long non-coding RNA (1396 nucleotides) under Marmota monax (woodchuck). Lineage: Eukaryota; Metazoa; Chordata; Mammalia; Rodentia; Sciuridae. The record is from RNAcentral.